This 1469-nucleotide ribosomal RNA is filed under the name uncultured Bordetella sp. RNAcentral's name for it is "partial 16S-23S ribosomal RNA intergenic spacer". It matches the Rfam family "Bacterial small subunit ribosomal RNA". Lineage: Bacteria; Pseudomonadati; Pseudomonadota; Betaproteobacteria; Burkholderiales; Alcaligenaceae. The record is from RNAcentral.
AGUUCGAUCCACAGCUCAGAUUGAACGCUGGCGGGAUACUUUACACAUGCAAGUCGAACGGCAGCACGGACUUCGGUCUGGUGGCGAGUGGCGAGCAGGUGAGUAAUGUAUCGGAACGUGCCUAGUAGCGGGGGAUAACUACGCGAAAGCGUAGCUAAUACGCAUACGCCCUUCGGGGAAAGCGGGGGGACCUUCGGGCCUCGCACUAUUAAACGGCCGAUAUCGGAUUAAAGCUAGUUGGUAGAAUUAACGGCUCGCCAAGGCGACGAUCCGUAGCUGGUUUAGAGAGGACGACCAGCCACACUGGGACUGAGACACGGCCCAGACUCCUACGGGAGGCCUUGAUGGGGAAUUUUGGACAAUGAGGAAACCUGAUCCAGCCAUCCCGCGUGCGAUGAAGGCCUUCGGGUUGUAAAGCACUUUUUUGGCAGGAAAGAAACGGCACGGGAUAAUACCCCGUGCAACUGACAGUACAGAAUAAGCACCGGCUAACUACGUGCCAGCAGCCGCGGUAAUACGUGAGGUGCAAGCGUUAAUCGGAAUUACUGGGCGUAAAGCGUGCGCAGGCAGUUGGAAGAAAGAUGUAGAAAUCCCAGAGCUUAACUUUGAGACUGCAUUUUUGCUCACCGAGCUAGAGUGUGUCAGAGGGAGGUGGAAUUCCGCGUGUAGCAGUGAAAUGCGUAAAGAUAUGCGGAGGAACACCGAUGGCGAAGGCAGCCUCCUGGGAUAACCUAAACGCUCAUGCACGAAAGCGUGGGAGCAAGCAGGGAUUAGAUACCCUGGUAUUCGCCCUAAACGAUGUCAACUAGCUAUUUGGGGCCUUCAGGCCUUGGUACGCGCAACUAACGCGUGAAGUUGACCGCCUGGGGAGUACGGUCGCAAGAUUAAAACUCAAAGGAAUUGACGGGGACCCGCACAAGCGGUGGAUGAUGUGGAUUAAUUCGAUGCAACGCGAAAAACCUUACCUACCCUUGACAUGUCUGGAAUCCCGAAGAGAUUUGGGAGUGUUCGCAAGAGAACCGGAACACAGGUGCUGCAUGGCUGUCGUCAGCUCGUGUCGUGAGAUGUUAGGUUCGAAGUCCUGUAGCAAGCACAACCCUUGUCAUUAGUUGCUACGAAGAGCUGCUCAAUAAGACUGCCGGUGACAAACCGGAAGUGGGGAUGACGUCAAGUCCUCAUAGCCCUUAUGGGUAGGGCUUCACACGUCAUACAAUGGUCGGGACGGUGUAACCGCGAAGGCCAAUCCCAGAAGUGAUCGUAGUCGGAUCGCAGUCUGCAACUCGACUGCGUGAAGUCGGAAUCGCUAGUAAUCGCGGAUCAGCAUGUCGCGGUGAAUACGUUCCCGAGGUCUUGUACACACCGCCCGUCACACCAUGGGAGUGGGUUUUACCAGAAGUAGUUAGCCUAACCGUAAGGAGGGCGAUUACCACGGUAGGAUUCAUGACUGGGGUGAAGUCGUAACAAGGUAA